GAUGAACGCUAGCUACAGGCUUAACACAUGCAAGUCGAGGGGCAGCAUGAACUUAGCUUGCUAAGUUUGAUGGCGACCGGCGCACGGGUGAGUAACACGUAUCCAACCUGCCGAUGACUCGGGGAUAGCCUUUCGGAAGAAAGAUUAAUACCCGAUGGCAUAGUUCUUCCGCAUGGUAGAACUAUUAAAGAAUUUCGGUCAUCGAUGGGGAUGCGUUCCAUUAGGUUGUUGGCGGGGUAACGGCCCACCAAGCCUUCGAUGGAUAGGGGUUCUGAGAGGAAGGUCCCCCACAUUGGAACUGAGACACGGUCCAAACUCCUACGGGAGGCAGCAGUGAGGAAUAUUGGUCAAUGGACGAGAGUCUGAACCAGCCAAGUAGCGUGAAGGAUGACUGCCCUAUGGGUUGUAAACUUCUUUUAUACGGGAAUAAAGUGAGGCACGUGUGCCUUUUUGUAUGUACCGUAUGAAUAAGGAUCGGCUAACUCCGUG
This 489-nucleotide ribosomal RNA is filed under the name uncultured bacterium. RNAcentral's name for it is "partial 16S ribosomal RNA". It matches the Rfam family "Bacterial small subunit ribosomal RNA", at positions 28 to 507 of the family's 1533-position model. The record is from RNAcentral.